AGUAUACACGUCUGUGUGCAGUGACCAUUUCAUCAAAGGUGCCAAAUCUGAUGACCCGCUGUCCCCUGAUUGGGUUCCAUCUGUCUUCUCUCACACCUGCCACCAAAAGGAGGAAGAGGGAGAAAGACAUGGAAAGCUUGUCCCAUCAUUUCUAUUUUGGCCACAGAGAGAAGAGCUUCGGCUGUCAAUGCCCAUGAUAUUUAGACAAACUUACCCUAGAUGUGCCUGCAUAAUUAGUUUAUAGAAAAACCCAAAGACUUAGAAGCAAGAGCACACAUAUUCGACCUAUAAGCACCCUCAAUCAAUACAAUGUAAAUAUGGAAUUAUUUAUUUAUACAAACACACACUGUAAAUAAUAAUAAUUAAUGAAUAUAUGACAUUUUAUAUAUUACAAUAAUACAUGUAUUCCAUUUUCACUUUAAAUACCUUUGUGCAUUGUAUUUAUUUGUAUUCAUCUGUUUUAUUUAUCUAUGUAUGUGCAUUUUAUUUAUUUAUUGAAUAAAUCUGUAAUUGUCUGUCUAACAGUGCAAUUCAAAAUGUA
Molecule: long non-coding RNA, 541 nt
Organism: Alosa sapidissima (American shad)
Lineage: Eukaryota; Metazoa; Chordata; Actinopteri; Clupeiformes; Clupeidae
Exons: 2
Source: RefSeq, a predicted model, not a curated record